UACGGGGGGGGCUAGUGUUGUUCGGAAUUACUGGGCGUAAAGGGCGCGUAGGCGGUCUAUUAAGUUGGAUGUGAAAACUCUGGGCUUAACCCAGAGCCUGCAUUCAAAACUGAUAGGCUGGAGUUCUGGAGGGGAUAGCGGAAUUCCUGGUGUAGCGGUGAAAUGCGUAGAUAUCAGGAGGAACACCGGUGGCGAAGGCGGGUCUCUGGGCAGUAACUGACGCUGAGGAGCGAAAGCCAGGGGAGCAAACGGG
RNAcentral lists this ribosomal RNA (253 nucleotides) under uncultured bacterium. Its description in RNAcentral is "partial 16S ribosomal RNA". It matches the Rfam family "Bacterial small subunit ribosomal RNA", at positions 524 to 776 of the family's 1533-position model. The record is from RNAcentral.